GAUGAAGAACGUAGCGAAAUGCGAUAAGUAAUGCGAAUUGCAGAAUUCAGUGAAUCAUCGAAUCUUUGAACACACAUUGCGCCCCCUGGUAUUCCGGGGGGCAUGCCUGUUCGAGCGUCAUUUCACCACUCAAGCCUCGCUUGGUAUUGGGCAACGCGGUCCGCCGCGUGCCUCAAAUCGACCGGCUGGGUCUUCUGUCCCCUAAGCGUUGUGGAAACUAUUCGCUAAAGGGUGUUCGGGAGGCUACGCCGUAAAACAACCCCAUUUCUAAGGUUGACCUCGGAUCAGGUAGGGAUACCCGCUGAAAUUAAGCAUAUCAAUAAGCGGAGGA
RNAcentral lists this unclassified non-coding RNA (331 nucleotides) under soil metagenome. RNAcentral's name for it is "partial contains 5.8S ribosomal RNA, internal transcribed spacer 2, and large subunit ribosomal RNA". The stretch from base 1 to 120 matches the Rfam family "5.8S ribosomal RNA", at positions 35 to 154 of the family's 154-position model. The record is from RNAcentral.